GGCAGUGGCAGCUCAGUGGUUAAGACAUUGGACUUUUGCUCAGAAAGCCAUGAGUUCAAAUCCCAGCACCACCGCCA
Pangasianodon gigas (Mekong giant catfish) is the source of this 77-nucleotide non-coding RNA. Lineage: Eukaryota; Metazoa; Chordata; Actinopteri; Siluriformes; Pangasiidae. The record is from the annotation of a GenBank genome assembly.